Phacochoerus africanus (Common warthog) is the source of this 1503-nucleotide long non-coding RNA. RefSeq lists it as uncharacterized. NCBI's taxonomy places the organism in Eukaryota, Metazoa, Chordata, Mammalia, Artiodactyla, Suidae. The record is from RefSeq and is a predicted model, not a curated record. The transcript is spliced from 2 exons.
UGCAGGACUCUCCACUGACUGAUGCGGAGGUCUAUUAACUGUUGGGGGCAAGGAAAUAAAAAAUAAGGAAGAAAUCUUAAUGCUCUUGGAAGCUGUUUGGGACCCAGAAAGGUGGCAGUAAUGCACAGCAGAGAACACCAGAAAGGUCAGACAAUGGAGGCAAAAGGAAACUGGAUGGCUGACCAAGCAGCCAAGGAGGCAGCUACACAGGAACCACAGUAGGGUGAAGAUUGCUGCAGACAAAACCACCUCCUGAAAAGUAGAAAAGGACACAGACUGGCCACUGAAACUCCCCCUUAAGAAACAAGAAGGAAAAUGACUUCAGCUCAGAGCGUUCUGCGACUGCUGGAGACAACCCUGCUGCUACCAGGACAUCUAGACCAGGUGAAGAUCCAGGACAAUGUCUUUAUAUCACGGGCCCAAUUCUAUGUGAACUUUCACAACCAGUCCAGCUGGGUAUGUGGAGCCCUGCCAAUGUCUGUAAUGGAUGAACUACCCUGGUAGAUAUCACCUUUCCACCAGGGUGAUUUGGCUAAUUUAUGUGACUUUUAUACCUGUUUUUCAAUGGUAUGAUUACUUGGCAGCCAUAUUUGUUCCAUCACUAGAAAUGACAGAUAUCAUGAUGAGGGUGGAAGCUUUAACUUUACCAAACAGGCUUUAUUAAAUGAGAUAAAAACUAUAAACGCACUAAAUACUAAACAAAUACUGAUGGGAAGGGCUGUCAUUCAAAAUAGAAUGGCAUUAGGCAUCCUAACAGCUGCCCAAGGAGGGACAUGUGCUAUCAUAAAAGUAGAGUGUUGUGCAUAUAUUCCUGAUCUCUCUGGUAAUCUGAUAAUGUAACUGCUGCAUUAGAUGAUAUGAGGCAUCAGGUUAGAGCAAUGUCUGAUGAUAAUCUUAUUUUUUGGACUUCUGUUUUGUCUUGGUUAAAAGGGGACUGGUGGAAAAUGUAAUACUAAUCAUAGUUAUUAUACUGCUAUUGCUAAUCUUUGGACCUUGAAUUUUUAAUUGUGUUACUCAGCUUGUUGCAUCCCAUUUAGGAACCAUGUUCCAAGCCCACACCCCUUGAAUACAGUAUUUGCCAAUGACUGAUGCACAUCAGAAAGGAUGAGCAUCAGGAGGAGGGAAUGUAAGGAUGUGGAAAAAGGAAAUAAGGAGCUUGGCAAGAGUGAAGCCAUCUCGCUGCCACCAUCUAUCUUGGUCGACUUAAGGUGACCCAUAUGAAGGCUCUGAGAAAAACAAAGUCAUUAGGACUUGGAAAAUGCCAGGCCCUGAUUGUUCUAAAGAAAUUCAAUAAUAGCUAGAUUGUGCUUGAGGUUAAUCAUUAAAGUAACAAUAUGAGGCAUUCUUUACAUCUAUACACUUUUCUGUACCCUGCAUGUAACUAAAGAUUAAUGUAGCAUGUUAGAUAUGUAAGCAAGGACCCCCAACUUUUGGUUCAGGGUCCAUGAUUGGGAAGUGAUUCCCCGUGGACCUGCUGGCAUAAUAAAGCUAUUCUCCAUCUUC